This 495-nucleotide ribosomal RNA is filed under the name uncultured bacterium. RNAcentral describes it as "partial 16S ribosomal RNA". It matches the Rfam family "Bacterial small subunit ribosomal RNA", at positions 30 to 507 of the family's 1533-position model. The record is from RNAcentral.
UGAACGCUGGCGGCGUGCCUACUACAUGCACGUCGAGCGAACGGACGAGAAGCUUGCUUCUCUGAUGUUAGCGGCGGACGGGUGAGUAACACGUGGAUAACCUACCUAUAAGACUGGGAUAACUUCGGGAAACCGGAGCUAAUACCGGAUGAUAUUUUUAACCGCAUGGUUCAAAAGUGAAAGACGGUCUUGUUGUCACUUAUAGAUGGAUCCGCGCUGCAUUAGCUAGUUGGUAAGGUAACGGCUUACCAAGGCAACGAUGCAUAUCCGACCUGAGAGGGUGAUCGGCCACACUGGAACUGAGACACGGUCCAGACUCCUACGGGAGGCAGCAGUAGGGAAUCUUCCGCAAUGGGCGAAAGCCUGACGGAGCAACGCCGCGUGAGUGAUGAAGGUCUUCGGAUCGUAAAACUCUGUUAUUAGGGAAGAACAUAUGUGUAAGUAACUGUGAACAUCUUGACGGUACCUAAUCAGAAAGCCACGGCUAACUACGUG